UAGGGAAUAUUGGGCAAUGGCCGCAAGGCUGACCCAGCCAUGCCGCGUGCAGGAUGAAGGCGCUCAGCGUUGUAAACUGCUUUUAUCUGGGAAGAACUGCAGGAUUGCGAUCUUGUUUGACGGUACCAGAGGAAUAAGCACCGGCUAACUCCGUGCCAGCAGCCGCGGUAAUACGGAGGGUGCAAGCGUUGUCCGGAUUUAUUGGGUUUAAAGGGUGCGUAGGUGGCCCGCUAAGUCUGGUUUGAAAGCUGGUCGCUCAACGAUCAGAUGUGGCUGGAAACUGGUGGGCUUGAAUGCGAUGGCGGUCGCCGGAACGGGUCAUGUAGCGGUGAAAUGCAUAGAUAUGACCCAGAACUCCGAUUGCGAAGGCAGGCGACCAGGUCGUGAUUGACACUGAGGCACGAGAGCAUGGGGAGCGAACAG
Molecule: ribosomal RNA, 423 nt
Filed under: uncultured bacterium
Lineage: Bacteria
Description: bacterial SSU rRNA
Rfam family: Bacterial small subunit ribosomal RNA
Source: RNAcentral